RNAcentral lists this non-coding RNA (26 nucleotides) under Homo sapiens (human). The record is from RNAcentral. Lineage: Eukaryota; Metazoa; Chordata; Mammalia; Primates; Hominidae.
UUAAGUUAAAAUGAGGUGAUUAGGGU